UCCCCAAAAGACCAUAAGUAUUUGGUUGGAUCAGGUUGCUACCAUACAACCUAGAGCAUUUCUGAUGAGCAACAUUUACCUCCCAAUCCACCCCAGCCCUCCCCAUGCCUACAGAAUGGGCUGCCUGUGGUUUGCAUUGAUCUCUGGUCCCGUGUAGCUCAUGAGAGUUUAUUUAACUGAGAACACAUAUGCAAGAGUACGGCAAACUAUGUAGGGAAAAAACCCUCCUGGGGUUUACUUCCCUCCCCAAAAAGGAGGCAGUGUAAAUGGCAGAACUCUGAGCAUCCCUGGCUCCCUGGCACACUCACUGAUCAGGCAUCAUUAGAAAAUGAGGGAUUCUGGGUCAGGGAAUCUUCCAGACAAUGGAACGCAUUCCAUUUUAAAGAGCAAAACUUAAGAACAAAACAUUUAAAGCAUCUAAUGAGAAUAUUGCUUUUCUGUUUUCAUUAAAUAAGAACACAGACGGUAUUUAACUCUUAGAAUGAUGCCGUGCUGUCCUUGCUACGGGCAUCAGUCAUUGUUCUGGGCCCUCAGGGCCUGUUGAGCUGCGAAGAGCUGUUUGCUUCAGCACUAAAUGGCCUCUGCCAGUUGACUUUUAUGGCUUCUGUAUAUGCUUUUGAUCAUUAUCCAAUAUCAUUCUAGACUCUGGGUCUUCCUCUAGCAUCUCUUCCUUGCCACCUCCUCCUCUCUUCAGACGGGCUGCUCUCCACAUAUUGUUGGCUGAAAAUCCAGGUAAUGAAGACUGGACUGGGAGAGGUAGCUGUUUAGGGUCAGUAAUUUCUUUCUUUCUUUUUUUUUUCUUGAUACCGGGUCUUGUUUUGUUGCCAGACUUGAGUGCAGUAGCAUGACCACAGCUCACUGCAGCCUCAACUUCCUGAGCUCACGGGAUCCUCCUGCCUCGGCUUCCCACGUACCACAGGAGAUCUCAACACAGCUGACCAGUGCUCACUUUGGAUGGAAAAGGAAUCGUUUUCCCAGUGGGAGAGCAAGAUACAUGGAAAAGGCAAGAGGUGGGACCAAUGAGACCGGUGUGAUACAUCAAGGGAACGCAACAGAAAUAAACUCAAUAUAUGACAGAAUUUUGUGUGUGAUAACACUGGCACUUCAAGUCAGUGGGAGGAGAAUGGAUUGCUUAAUAAUGGCCGGCCAUUUAAUUAAAACAGUUUGUAAAAUCUCGCCUUCAGACCACACCC
RNAcentral lists this long non-coding RNA (1193 nucleotides) under Callithrix jacchus (white-tufted-ear marmoset). RNAcentral's name for it is "lncRNA (ENSCJAG00000078575.1)". The record is from RNAcentral. Lineage: Eukaryota; Metazoa; Chordata; Mammalia; Primates; Cebidae.